ACUGAUCUCACUCGUGGUCAGAGCUCAGUACAGGCCCAUCCGUCACGGGGCUGAUUUGGUUCAGCAGGUGUUGGCUGGGCAAUCGCUCAUUUCAGGCUAAUCUGCUAGCGGCUGUCAGGGGUUAUGGAGUAUUUAUUGAGUUUGUGUCAGGUCCGGAUGACCAAUAGCCAACAGCCGGUGGAUACGCACUGACAUUGAUGAUAUUGCUGAAUUAAACGCGGUGAUGUAUACUCAACUUGCUUAGAGCCAGGAAUGGACCCUGGGAUCAUUUUAUAAUCUGAUGCAGACAAUUCCUGGGCUUUCCUUUUCAAAGAAAACAUCACACACAUGGCGUUUCUAUUUAAAGAAAAAAGUACACGGUCCCCAACAAAUGUAGUCACGUCCAUAUUUAAAUGAACAAGAGCAUUUUCUGGGGAGACUGGAGGGAAUAAAUAAGAUCCAGAUAUUUGGCAAACAGCCUUCCAUGCACUGCCAAGACCCGUUGGAUUCCCAACAUUUAGAUUUCAGGCCUCACCAGAAAGACAUUCGUUGGUGACCCAGACUCAGGAUUAUGAACAUAAAUUCAGAGUCUGCCUUUGGUGGCAACAUGAUGUCACAAAGAAGAGCACUGGAGUUGGAGUCAGACAGCAAAUAGGAUAGUGAUGCCAUCUGAAGGGUGAACGUGAAGUCAUGCAAGAUGCUGUAUGUGCUGAUAUCAGGAGACGGCUUCUUAUACUUGGUCUCUCUCUCCUUUUCUUCUCCUAGAACCAUCACUCUCCCUCCAACCUCACCCAAACCCCAAAGCAACCACUCAAGCCAUGUGAAGCAUUGAAGUACAUUCCAGAGAAGUCUCUGCUGUUCCCGGGGCUCCGAGCCACAAGCUGCAAUGGGCAUGCGUGGAGCCCAGCUGUUUUUUACUGAUCUCUUCUGCCGGUCCUCUCUCUCUCUCUGAAGUAGCAGAACUCCAGCUCCACCGGUUCCAAGCUCACAGUCCCAAGUCACUGGAGUAUGUUUGCCAGUCUGAGUCCACGUCCAAGGGAGAAUAUUUGAACUGCCUCAGAAGUGCUAGAGUUGCUAAUGACUAAAGUGGUGUAAGGCACACUCUCC
RNAcentral lists this long non-coding RNA (1086 nucleotides) under Equus caballus (horse). RNAcentral's name for it is "lncRNA (ENSECAG00000057888.1)". The record is from RNAcentral. Lineage: Eukaryota; Metazoa; Chordata; Mammalia; Perissodactyla; Equidae.